RNAcentral lists this transfer RNA (73 nucleotides) under Stegodyphus mimosarum. It matches the Rfam family "tRNA". From Rfam's summary of the family: Transfer RNA (tRNA) molecules are approximately 80 nucleotides in length. Their secondary structure includes four short double-helical elements and three loops (D, anti-codon, and T loops). The record is from Rfam by way of RNAcentral. Lineage: Eukaryota; Metazoa; Arthropoda; Arachnida; Araneae; Eresidae.
GCCUUCCUAGUGUAGUGGUCAGCACGCUCGGCGCGUAUUCUGGAAGUCCGUGGUUCGAGUCCCGGCGAGGGCA